This 378-nucleotide transfer-messenger RNA is filed under the name Campylobacteraceae bacterium. It matches the Rfam family "transfer-messenger RNA". From Rfam's summary of the family: Bacterial tmRNA, also known as 10Sa RNA or SsrA, is named for its dual tRNA and mRNA-like properties. Its role is to liberate the mRNA from a stalled ribosome. To accomplish this part of the tmRNA is used as a reading frame that ends in a translation stop signal. Lineage: Bacteria; Pseudomonadati; Campylobacterota; Epsilonproteobacteria; Campylobacterales; Campylobacteraceae. The record is from RNAcentral.
GGGGAUGCACUGGUUUCGACGAGGUUGUUGAAAUUAGGAUAGCGAGUAGAGGGUUCCGUUGGCCUCUUUAAAAAGCGGAAAAAAUUUUUAAAUGCCGAAGAAAAUACGGUAUUAGCAGCUGCUUAGUUCAGCUGUUCCUGACACCGACUGAUCUGCAGGUUGAUCUGUCAGGCUAGAUUAGCAGACCUUGCCUAAGGGAGGUUAAGUAGGCAAACCUUUGAGCCUAAGCUUUGCAGCUCAAUUGCAUUUAUGAAGCUACUUUGUUCCAUACUUUGUUAUUAGAGGAUGGGCAGGGGAAUGAAAAAAUAAUAACUGCACUCGGAGAAAUCCUUUUUGGCGCAGUUUCGGACACGGGUUCAAUUCCCGUCAUCUCCACCA